AAGCCCUUCGGGGUGAGUACAGCGGCGGACGGGUGAGUAACGCGUAGGAAUCUACCCAGUAGUGGGGGACAACUAGUGGAAACGCUAGCUAAUACCGCAUACGCCCUAMGGGGGAAAGCGGGGGAYCUUCGGRCCUCGUGCUAUUGGAUGAGCCUGCGUAAGAUUAGCUUGUUGGUGAGGUAAUGGCUCACCAAGGCGACGAUCUUUAGCUGGUCUGAGAGGAUGAUCAGCCACACCGGGACUGAGACACGGCCCGGACUCCUACGGGAGGCAGCAGUCGGGAAUAUUGCGCAAUGGGSGAAASCCUGACGCAGCCAUGCCGCGUGUGUGAAGAAGGCCCUAGGGUUGUAAAGCACUUUCAAUUGGGAGGAAAAGCUAAURSUUAAUAMSYAUUAGCCCUGACGUUACCUUUAGAAGAAGCACCGGCUAACUCCGUGCCAGCAGCCGCGGUAAUACGGAGGGUGCAAGCGUUAAUCGGAAUUACUGGGCGUAAAGCGCGCGUAGGCGGUUUUUUAAGUCGGAUGUGAAAGCCCCGGGCUCAACCUGGGAAYUGCAUCCGAUACUGRAUSACUAGAAUGCGGGAGAGGGAGGUAGAAUUCCAUGUGUAGCAGUGAAAUGCGUAGAUAUAUGGAGGAAUACCAGUGGCGAAGGCGGCCUCCUGGCUCGACAUUGACGCUGAGGUGCGAAAGCGUGGGGAGCAAACGGGAUUAGAURCCCCGGUAGUCCACGCCGUAAACGAUGUCUACUAGCUGUAGGGGUACUUGAGACCUUYGUAGCGCAGCUAACGCAAUAAGUAGACCGCCNGGGGAGUACNGCCGCAAGGYUAAAACUCAAAUGAA
RNAcentral lists this ribosomal RNA (839 nucleotides) under uncultured bacterium. Its description in RNAcentral is "partial 16S small subunit ribosomal RNA". It matches the Rfam family "Bacterial small subunit ribosomal RNA", at positions 73 to 909 of the family's 1533-position model. The record is from RNAcentral.